Molecule: ribosomal RNA, 539 nt
Filed under: uncultured bacterium
Lineage: Bacteria
Description: bacterial SSU rRNA
Rfam family: Bacterial small subunit ribosomal RNA
Source: RNAcentral
GAGGAAUAUUGGUCAAUGGGCGAGAGCCUGAACCAGCCAAGUAGCGUGCAGGACGACGGCCCUAUGGGUUGUAAACUGCUUUUGUAUGGGGAUAAAGUCAAUCACGUGUGAUUGUUUGCAGGUACCAUACGAAUAAGGACCGGCUAAUUCCGUGCCAGCAGCCGCGGUAAUACGGAAGGUCCGGGCGUUAUCCGGAUUUAUUGGGUUUAAAGGGAGCGUAGGCUGGAGAUUAAGUGUGUUGUGAAAUGUAGACGCUCAACGUCUGACUUGCAGCGCAUACUGGUUUCCUUGAGUACGCACAACGUUGGCGGAAUUCGUCGUGUAGCGGUGAAAUGCUUAGAUAUGACGAAGAACUCCGAUUGCGAAGGCAGCUGACGGGAGCGCAACUGACGCUGAAGCUCGAGGGUGCGGGUAUCGAACAGGAUUAGAUACCCUGGUAGUCCGCACAGUAAACGAUGGAUGCCCGCUGUUGGUACGUGGUAUCAGCGGCUAAGCGAAAGCAUUAAGCAUCCCACCUGGGGAGUACGCCGGCAACGGUG